AUACAGAUAAUGAUUCGGAUGACUGUGUGAAUGGAGGCAGUCCCAAGGCGCCACCCAACCGUCAGCACCGGAAGGAGAAGAAGGAAUUCCCUAAACCAGCCAUCAACGGUCUACCACCCACUCCUAAAGUACUGAUGGGAGCCUGUUUCUCUAAAGUGUUUGAUGGCUGUCCACUGAAGAUCAACUGUGCCACAUCAUGGAUUCAUCCAGACACCAAAGAUCAGUACCUAAUCUUUGGGACGGAGGAUGGCAUUUAUACGCUGAAUCUUAAUGAGCUGCAUGAAGCCACAAUGGAGCAGGUAACAGCAGCUACAAUCAAUAAAAAACA
Plectropomus leopardus (leopard coralgrouper) is the source of this 328-nucleotide non-coding RNA. NCBI's taxonomy places the organism in Eukaryota, Metazoa, Chordata, Actinopteri, Perciformes, Serranidae. The record is from RefSeq and is a predicted model, not a curated record.